This 904-nucleotide long non-coding RNA is filed under the name Oryzias sinensis (Chinese medaka). Its description in RNAcentral is "lncRNA (ENSOSIG00000003856.1)". Lineage: Eukaryota; Metazoa; Chordata; Actinopteri; Beloniformes; Adrianichthyidae. The record is from RNAcentral.
AUGUCCGGGCAGAGGCGUGGAAAGACCUUGAUCAUCACCGAUGAUGAGGAAGAGGAGGAGGGGCAGGCGGAGGACCUGAACCCGUUCUCCUUCAGGGAGUUCAUGCGCUGGAAGACUCACGACGGCGACCCGGAGCAGGACCAGAACCAAGUGGAGAGGAACAUGCCUCACCUGGAUGCGGACAUCAGCAGCUGCUUCCUAUCUGAGACUCACCUGGCAACGCAGGAGGAGGAGGAGUGGGGGCGGAGCUUCCAGUCAGGCGUGGAGAGCACCUCCUCCCUGUGCACUGAAGAUGAUGAAGAGGAGGAGGAGGAGGAGACCCGGUUCUCCUCUAAGCCUGAAGGACACACAGAGAACUAUGAGGGAGACGAUGAGACCUCCCUGGCCGAGGCAGCCCCCACCUGCAGGAGGAGGACUGCUCAGAUGCAGCAGCUGAAGGAGGAGAACCAGACUAUGAGGAGGACGCUCAGGGAGCUGCAGAGGAGAGCCGAGGCUGACCAGCGCAGGGUGACACAGCUGACAGAAGAGCUGCUGCAGAGGAGGCGUCAGGAGGAGAAGGAGGCGCAGGAUCUUGAGAACAUGGUUCACUCUGUGGAGCAGAACCUGCAGCUGAUGACGGUGAGAUGACGCACAGUCCUGAUGGUUUGAUCUGACAGAGAGAGACAGGUGUUUGGUUUGAGGCAGAGUCCCCCUGAAGGACGGCGUGCUCAAAGCCACGCCCCUUUGUUAGCAUUGGCUGUCCUCAGAGCAGACGAGAGGGUUGGCUGUGGAUGACGUCAGGCGUGAAAGCUCACCUGAACGGUGGUGCCGACCAGAAUAGAUAAUCAUUUCUGGAGUCAGAAUGCAGACCGGCUCCAAAAGAACCAAAAGGCUCACAAGCAGAACCAUGUGGUGGUUUGAUUCC